CCCGGUGUAUUAGGAACCGAUAUCGAUGACGAUUCGGUCGUCAGCUGUGCAUGCCGUAAUGCUGGCAACAUUGUGUACGGCUUUCAAGCUUCACGGCUAGUCGAAGUGAUAGUUAGUUGUAUGUAACGAGACGAGCUUGUUGAGAACAAACAUUAGUCCAACAUUACGUGAUUUAAAAAAAAAAAAAAAAAAUUGUAAUUGUUUAUCACUAAUAUGCGUGAUGUUUUAGGGCUGGGAACAUGUUCACCUUCGUUCUGUUGCUUAAGAAGAAUCUGUUGACUUGGAAACUAGAUAUUUUCUGAUACGUUCUCUCGAACGUUUCCUUCUGGUUAUUCAGCAAUGACUGGUAUUCACACGUCUUUCCCGUGACCGGGACAGAGCUCCUCUACACAUCAAUGCUUUGGCAUUGAUCUUGUUCUUGAAUAUGAUGACACCGGUGUACUCUUAAUUCACUUCCUCAUUUCUAUUGUGGUUUUGACAGUCACAGUAGGUGUCGAAGUCAUUCAUGUCUUUUAUUAUACAGCUUUGCCCGUCCUAUAGGCCGUUUGUUUGUCUGUUACUGUUAUUAUAACAAAACGUAUCAUUAUAAAGUCAAUAUUUGUGCUCACACGUCUUUCGGGGACUUGUCAUGCAUCUCAGAUUAUUACAAUAUUUUUGAAGUCAUCCUGAAAAAAUAAACAUCAAAUGUGUUAUGAAAUGUCAGACACGUUGCUUUAAGUCUGUUGUCAAGGGCCUAUAGCAACAGGACGGUCUUAUCGUUUGUCUUUGUUUUCUGUUUUGUUAUCAGCAUAACGAGGGUGUGACUAUCAAACAGGAAAUGACCUGUAUGGCUACCCCUCCUUUCUACCGAAAUAAAAGGAGGAAGGAAAGAUGUACAUGAAAAAGAGAGUAUAGCCUUUAGCACGUGCUGUCAAUCUAAGCUUCUUCUAAGUCUAUUACACAGUCAGAGGGAGAGAGAGAGGUCACCCCAGUGGCACAGGUCUAUUAUAACCCUCAGUCAGAGAGGAGAGGUGUGACAUCACUCAAGAAGGAAGUGGCACUAGUUGUGAGCCAGCACCUCAGACCAAUGGGAAGACAGACAUUAUAUUUGCAAUCAUAUUCUGACUUUACAACAUUAAUCCAUUUUGAUUAUUAUUCUUUUUUUUAAAGUAGUUGUCAAUCUCCAAUAGAAACCAUUACAGUCACCACCUUCCGGAGACACCUGUAACCCCACCUCUUUAAGGAAUACCUAGGAUAGGAUAAGUAAUCCUUCUCACCCCCCCCCCCUUUAAGAUUUAGAUGCACUAUUGUAAAGUGACUAUUCUACUGGAUGUCAUAAGGUGAAUGCACCAAUUUGUAAGUCGCUCUGGAUAAGAGCUUCUGCUAAAUGACUUAAAUGUAAAUGUACAGUUCCAUUUGGCUGGGGUUUGAGUUAGUCGUUCAUCAAUGUUUUGUAUUUUUGUUAAGUACUAGAGAGUAGUGUUCAGUAAAGGAACUUCCUACAGCCACACACCUGAAAAAUCAUUUUAGUUUCAGAUUAAUUUGUGUUGUUGUUGAUUCAAACCACCUUUUACUUCCUUCCACUUUGUCUUUUAGAACCAACUCCCCAUGUUUGAGCUCUGUCAUUUUAGGGUCCUACGUUUUGACAGUUUUACAGUAUCCAUUGGGCUGAACAGAAUGCUACUGAAAUAGAUACAGGCCUGAGGCCAGCAUUGAGUUGACAUGUGUCUCCUAGGCAGGGGCCUUUGCUGUGGUUACAGUAUCCAGUCCACUACUACUGGUAGUGGCCACAGCUCAAAUAGUAGUAGUAUUUCUAUUCGCAGCAUAAAAUCACUAGUAGACUGUUUCUGAGUACUGCAGAUCCUGCUCUCUUUUUUUUUUUUUAAGAGCCAAUUAGGCGUACAUGUCAAACAUCCUUCCUCCAGAGGACCUCGUUAGCCUCUUAACUUACUCCAUGUUGAGUUCCUCCAACUACUAUGGGUUCAGGUCAAAAACAGUGCAUCUCUAUAUUGACUAAAUAGGUUUCCAUACCAGACACAGCCCUGGGGAAUGUCCACACAGGGUUUUGCUGUGUGUCUCUACUGUGAAAUAGCUUGUUGAGAGUAGUUUUAAGUCCUGUUAAACCCCUGCCUUUGUAGCUGGCGUGUAUCUGCUUCUGCUGUAACACUGCUGCCAUACGACCUACUGCUGUUAUGUGGAGGCCUAUGAGCUACUGCUGUUAUGUGGAGGCCUAUGAGCUACUGCUGUUAUGUGGAGGCCUAUGAGCUACUGCUGUUAUGUGGAGGCCUAUGAGCUACUGCUGUUAUGUGGAGGCCUAUGAGCUACUGCUGUUAUGUGGAGGCCUAUGAGCUACUGCUGUUAUGUGGAGGCCUAUGAGCUACUGCUGUUAUGUGGAGGCCUAUGAGCUACUGCUGUUAUGUGGAGGCCUAUGAGCUACUGCUGUUAUGUGGAGGCCUACGAGCUACUGCUGUUAUGUGUAGGCCUAUGAGCUACUGCUGUUAUGUGGAGGCCUAUGAGCUACUGCUGUUAUGUGGAGGCCUACGAGCUACUGCUGUUAUGUGGAGGCCUACGAGCUACUGCUGUUAUGUGGAGGCCUAUGAGCUACUGCUGUUAUGUGGAGGCCUAUGAGCUACUGCUGUUAUGUGGAGGCCUAUGAGCUACUGCUGUUAUGUGGAGGCCUAUGAGCUACUGCUGUUAUGUGGAGGCCUAUGAGCUACUGCUGUUAUGUGGAGGCCUAUGAGCUACUGCUGUUAUGUGGAGGCCUAUGAGCUACUGCUACACCAUUGUUAUGGAACCUCAUGUUCAUCUGAGUUAGUUGUUGCCAAGUAGCAUGCGGUUCUCUAUCGGUUAUCUAUCGGUUGAGUUGGAUGGGUAGGGAUGGGUAGGCUAUAGUCCAAGGUCAACGUUAAGCCUGUCCUGUUCAGAGGACACAGACAAGGUCCUACUGUACUGUUCAAACUGUCAAAUCCUCUCACAUCUACAUAGUGCCUAGGAGUUAAGGACCAGGAGAUAUGGGGGGGGGGGGUCUAUAUUAGUAGGUCAGAAGACGUUUGUAGGGUUAGCCGACCUAAUGCAUUAAAGAUAAUCAUCAGUCUGUGGUGUCAUGCAACAGCUGUAAAUAGAAGUGAAGGCCAAUCCUCCAAUCUGCCUAAUCAUGUUGUGUUGCUCAGUAGUAUGGUCCCUCGUUCAGCAGGUCGGUCCCUCCCCGGGAACCAACAGACAUCUGCCUAAUCAUGUUGUGAUGCUCAGUAGCAUGGUCCCUCGUUCAGCAGGUCGGUCCCUCCCCGGGAACCAACAGACAUCUGCCUACAUUCACAUGAUAUACAGAAACACAAACAUUUCUGUACACUGUCCAAGACAAUACACAUACAGUACUGUGUAUCUACACGGAGUGGACAAAACAUUAGGAACGCCUUCCUAAUAUUGAGUUGCACUCCCCUUUAGCCCUCAGAACAGCCUCAAUAGAUCAGGACAUGGACUCUAGGAGGUGUCGAAAGCGUUUCACAGGGAUGUUGACUCCAAGGCUUCCCACAGUUGUGUCAAGUUGCCUGGAUGGCCUGUGGGUGGUGGACCGUUCUUGAUACACAUGGGGAAACUGAUGAGCGUGAAAAACUCAGCAGUGUUGCAGAUCUUGACACACUCAAUCCAGUACACCUGGCACCUACUACCAUACCCCGUUUAAAGGCAUGUAAAUCUUUUGUCUCGCCCAUUCACCCUCUGAAUGGCAAACAUUCACAAUCCACGUCUCAAAUGUCUCAGGGCUUAAACAUCCUUCUUUAACGUGUCUCCUCCCCUUCAUCUACAUAUCUCCUCCCCUUCAUCUACAUGUCUCCUCCCCUUCAUCUACACUGAUUGAAGUGGAUUUAACAAGAGACAUCAAUAAGGGAUCAUAUCCUUCACCUGGAUUCACCUGGUCAGUCUAUGUCAUGGAAAGAGCAGGUGUUCUUAAUGUUUUGUACACUCCGUGUAUAUUGUAUAUCUUAUUGUACAGUGGAUAUCUGAUAUUAGUUGGAUGUGGAAACUGAACUGGGGCAAUGUCUCCUCAGAGUCAGUGGAUUAUUAUAUAUCUAUGAUUCUGUUUGUCCUGUUCGAUGUAUAGCCUGGUAUUGAGGUGUUUUCUGUUUGUCCUGUUCAAUGUAUAGCCUGGUAUUGAGGUGUUUUCUGUUCGUCCCUUUUGAUGUAUAGCCUGGUAUUGAGGUGUUUUCUGUUCGUCCCUUUUGAUGUAUAGCCUGGUAUUGAGGUGUUUUCUGUUCGUCCCUUUUGAUGUAUAGCCUGGUAUUGAGGUGUUUUCUGUUCGUCCCUUUUGAUGUAUAGCCUGGUAUUGAGGUGUUUUCUGU
Molecule: long non-coding RNA, 4316 nt
Organism: Oncorhynchus keta (chum salmon)
Lineage: Eukaryota; Metazoa; Chordata; Actinopteri; Salmoniformes; Salmonidae
Exons: 3
Source: RefSeq, a predicted model, not a curated record